GUAGGUGGCAAGCGUUGUCCGGAAUUAUUGGGCGUAAAGCGCGCGCAGGCGGUCCUUUAAGUCUGAUGUGAAAGCCCACGGCUCAACCGUGGAGGGUCAUUGGAAACUGGGGGACUUGAGUACAGAAGAGGAAAGCGGAAUUCCAAGUGUAGCGGUGAAAUGCGUAGAGAUUUGGAGGAACACCAGUGGCGAAGGCGGCUUUCUGGUCUGUAACUGACGCUGAGGCGCGAAAGCGUGGGGAGCAAACAGGGAUUAGAUACCCUGGUAGUCCACGCCGUAAACGAUGAGUGCUAAGUGUUAGGGGGUUUCCCGUCCCUUAGUGCUGCAGCUAACGCAUUAAGCACUCCGCCUGGGGAUACGGCCGCAAGGCUG
This 372-nucleotide ribosomal RNA is filed under the name uncultured organism. Its description in RNAcentral is "partial 16S ribosomal RNA". It matches the Rfam family "Bacterial small subunit ribosomal RNA", at positions 527 to 896 of the family's 1533-position model. The record is from RNAcentral.